This 638-nucleotide ribosomal RNA is filed under the name uncultured Alphaproteobacteria bacterium. RNAcentral describes it as "bacterial SSU rRNA". It matches the Rfam family "Bacterial small subunit ribosomal RNA", at positions 54 to 738 of the family's 1533-position model. Lineage: Bacteria; Pseudomonadati; Pseudomonadota; Alphaproteobacteria. The record is from RNAcentral.
CAUGCAAGUCGAACGAACCCUUCGGGGUUAGUGGCGCACGGGUGCGUAACGCGUGGGAAUCUGCCCUUUGCUUCGGAAUAACAGUUAGAAAUGACUGCUAAUACCGGAUGAUGUCUUCGGACCAAAGAUUUAUCGGCAAGGGAUGAGCCCGCGUAGGAUUAGGUAGUUGGUGGGGUAAAGGCCUACCAAGCCGACGAUCCUUAGCUGGUCUGAGAGGAUGAUCAGCCACACUGGGACUGAGACACGGCCCAGACUCCUACGGGAGGCAGCAGUGGGGGAUAUUGGACAAUGGGCGCAAGCCUGAUCCAGCAAUGCCGCGUGAGUGAUGAAGGCCUUCGGGUCGUAAAGCUCUUUUACCAGGGAUGAUAAUGACAGUACCUGGAGAAUAAGCUCCGGCUAACUCCGUGCCAGCAGCCGCGGUAAUACGGAGGGAGCUAGCGUUGUUCGGAAUUACUGGGCGUAAAGCGCACGUAGGCGGCGACACAAGUCAGAGGUGAAAGCCCGGGGCUCAACCCCGGAACUGCCUUUGAAACUAGGUUGCUAGAAUCUUGGAGAGGUCAGUGGAAUUCCGAGUGUAGAGGUGAAAUUCGUAGAUAUUCGGAAGAACACCAGUGGCGAAGGCGACUGACUGGACAAGU